GACGUAGGGCGCGAGCGUUGUCCGGAAUUAUUGGGCGUAAAGGGCUCGUAGGCGGUUUGUCACGUCGGGAGUGAAAACUCGGGGCUCAACCCCGAGCCUGCUUCCGAUACGGGCAGACUAGAGGUAUGCAGGGGAGAAUGGAAUUCCUGGUGUAGCGGUGAAAUGCGCAGAUAUCAGGAGGAACACCGGUGGCGAAGGCGGUUCUCUGGGCAUUACCUGACGCUGAGGAGCGAAAGUGUGGGGAGCGAACAGG
This 253-nucleotide ribosomal RNA is filed under the name uncultured bacterium. RNAcentral's name for it is "partial 16S ribosomal RNA". It matches the Rfam family "Bacterial small subunit ribosomal RNA", at positions 524 to 776 of the family's 1533-position model. The record is from RNAcentral.